RNAcentral lists this ribosomal RNA (230 nucleotides) under uncultured bacterium. Its description in RNAcentral is "partial 16S ribosomal RNA". It matches the Rfam family "Bacterial small subunit ribosomal RNA", at positions 524 to 753 of the family's 1533-position model. The record is from RNAcentral.
GACAGAGGGUGCAAACGUUGCUCGGAAUCACUGGGCGUAAAGGGCGUGUAGGCGGGACAGUAAGUCGGGCGUGAAAUCCCUGGGCUCAACCCAGGAACUGCACUCGAAACUACUAUUCUUGAGUGUCGGAGAGGAAAGCGGAAUUCCUGGUGUAGAGGUGAAAUUCGUAGAUAUCAGGAGGAACACCAGUGGCGAAGGCGGCUUUCUGGACGAUAACUGACGCUGAGACG